RNAcentral lists this ribosomal RNA (465 nucleotides) under uncultured bacterium. Its description in RNAcentral is "partial 16S ribosomal RNA". It matches the Rfam family "Bacterial small subunit ribosomal RNA", at positions 28 to 504 of the family's 1533-position model. The record is from RNAcentral.
GACGAACGCUGGCGGCGUGCUUAACACAUGCAAGUCGAACGGAAAGGCCCUGCUUUUGUGGGGUGCUCGAGUGGCGAACGGGUGAGUAACACGUGAGUAACCUGCCCUUGACUUUGGGAUAACUUCAGGAAACUGGGGCGAAUACCGGAUAGGAGCUCCUGCUGCAUGGUGGGGGUUGGAAAGUUUCGGCGGUUGGGGAUGGACUCGCGGCUUAUCAGCUUGUUGGUGGAGUAGUGGCUUACCAAGGCUUUGACGGGUAGCCGGCCUGAGAGGGUGGCCGGCCACGUUGGGACUGUGAUACGGCCCAGACUCUAACGGGAGGCAGCAGUGGGGAAUAUUGCAUAAUGGGCGGAAGCCUGAAGCAGCGACGCCGCGGGGGGGAUGACGGCCUUCGGGUUGUAAACCGCUUUCGCCUGUGACGAAGCGUGAGUGACGGUAAUGGGUAAAGAAGCACCGGCUAACUAC